Molecule: ribosomal RNA, 243 nt
Filed under: uncultured bacterium
Lineage: Bacteria
Description: partial 16S ribosomal RNA
Rfam family: Bacterial small subunit ribosomal RNA
Source: RNAcentral
GCUACCCAGCAAUGGGAUGCGAAUCUCGAAAGCCUGUCUCAGUUCGGAUUGGAGGCUGAAACCCGCCUCCAUGAAGUUGGAUUCGCUAGUAAUCGCGCAUCAGCCAUGGCGCGGUGAAUACGUUCCCGGGCCUUGUACACACCGCCCGUCAAGCCAUGGGAGCCGGGGGUGCCUGAAGUUCGUGACCGCAAGGAGCGACCUAGGGCAAAACUGGUGACUGGGGCUAAGUCGUAACAAGGUAGC